GAUGAACGCUGGCGGCGUGCCUAAUACAUGCAAGUAGAACGCUGAAGCUUGGUGCUUGCACCGAGCGGAUGAGUUGCGAACGGGUGAGUAACGCGUAGGUAACCUGCCUCUUAGCGGGGGAUAACUAUUGGAAACGAUAGCUAAUACCGCAUAAAAGUCGACAUUGCAUGAUGUUGACUUGAAAGGUGCAAUUGCAUCACUAAGAGAUGGACCUGCGUUGUAUUAGCUAGUUGGUGAGGUAACGGCUCACCAAGGCGACGAUACAUAGCCGACCUGAGAGGGUGAUCGGCCACACUGGGACUGAGACACGGCCCAGACUCCUACGGGAGGCAGCAGUAGGGAAUCUUCGGCAAUGGGGGCAACCCUGACCGAGCAACGCCGCGUGAGUGAAGAAGGUUUUCGGAUCGUAAAGCUCUGUUGUAAGAGAAGAACGAGUGUGAGAGUGGAAAGUUCACACUGUGACG
Molecule: ribosomal RNA, 464 nt
Filed under: Streptococcus parasanguinis
Lineage: Bacteria; Bacillati; Bacillota; Bacilli; Lactobacillales; Streptococcaceae
Description: bacterial SSU rRNA
Rfam family: Bacterial small subunit ribosomal RNA
Source: RNAcentral